CAUCCUCCAAGAGAGAAGAAGAGAGAAAAUCAAGAGAGCAAGGGAAGAAGAGGAAGAUUGAAGGAAGAAGCAAGGGAGCUCCUCCCCAAGGUUGUGAUGGUCCAGAUCCACUACCUUGUCUCCUUCAAGCUUCGGUUCCACCAUCUUUGGUGUCGGUCGACAAAGUCAGCAUCCCUCAAGUCAAAUGUUCUCUGUUUUCAAAUCUAACGACUAAUCAUCUCUUCAGAGCCUUGCCUCACUCAGUUCUUUCCAUGAUCAAUGUUCCUGAUGGAGGACUUUGCUUGAGGACCUCCAGCUUUUGUCGCGUUCAAAUGGGGAGGUUCUGAUCCAAGAGAGUAGCGCGACUUGUGUGAACAAAACUGAAAAGAAAAUCGAUAAACAUAAUCUGGACGCAAAUAAAAGUGAGCCCCUAGUUGCCAAAUUAUGGUGCAUAUAAGUUUGUUCGAGUCAAAUUUUGUAAACUUUGACCAAGCUUAUAGAAAAUAUUAUUUUUUCCGUACGCACGAGUGUGAGUAUCAUAUUGUAUAGAAAGGGGUGGGCAAAGAGCCCAAGUCCACAAUAGGUGUUACGAGUUUCAUUGUAUAGAAAAGAUUAUUAGCAUUGGAGCACGUCGUGUUUCCAAGAGCCGUUUCAUGAUCUUAAUUAGCCA
This is a long non-coding RNA of Triticum aestivum (bread wheat), 649 nucleotides long. RefSeq lists it as uncharacterized. The transcript has 2 exons. NCBI's taxonomy places the organism in Eukaryota, Viridiplantae, Streptophyta, Magnoliopsida, Poales, Poaceae. The record is from RefSeq and is a predicted model, not a curated record.